GUUUUUAUGAUUCUUCCAGACCCUAGUUCAACUAUCAUGAGAGCUUCACCCAGGGAUAAACGAAUUAAAAUACGAUUCACGUCAUUGCCACACGUCUGCCUCGGCACACAGGCCGGGUGAAGGCGAGGGUGCCAAUACUUUUAUCUAUGCAGAAGACGUACGGUAAGAAGAUGUGCAGCUUUGUUGGACGACGUUAAGGAACAACAAAAAGGUGUUCAGUGGCUGAAUCUCAAACUCUGUUUUGUGCUCUGUACUGGGUAGGGCACUGGGUAGGGCACUAGGAAGGGCACUGGGUAGGGCACUGGGUAGGGUACUAGGUAGGGCACUAGGAAGGGCACUGGGUAGGGCACUAGGUAGGGUACUAGCCAGGGCACUAGGAAGGGCACUGGGUAGGGCACUAGCUAGGGCACAUUUAUGUUAGACCCUAGGUAGGGAGCACACUUAGUGAGUUAAAUUAAAUUCAAUUAAAAUGAAUUCCCAGAAGGUUUUAUGACCGAAUUAAACACCGCCGACAAACAGCCGCUGUAUUGCAAAAAUUCUUUCAUUUUGUAAUUUUUUUUUGUGAACAAAAUGAACUCUGAUCUCUGGAGUUUUGGAGUUUCAUCACGAAGGAAUGAUUUUUAUUUAAAGGAGCGGCAUGUAAUAAUUAGCGCCCUCUUCUGCCUGUAGUGAGAUGCCGUAGAAACGCAGACGAGCCUUUAUCUUUCCCUUCUGCUAGCAUUAUUUGCGCCUCGUAAAUUGUUUAGUGAAGAAAAAGUGGGCGUGGCUUAGCACCUGUUCUGACUAGGGGUGGAGCUAAUUGCAGCAGACUUUUUUAAAAAGGUCUAGAUUGAUCUGAAUUGAUUUUUCUCUCUUGUGUAACACCCCAGAACACUUUUAUUCCCCAG
Ictalurus punctatus (channel catfish) is the source of this 887-nucleotide long non-coding RNA. Lineage: Eukaryota; Metazoa; Chordata; Actinopteri; Siluriformes; Ictaluridae. The record is from Ensembl.